Molecule: long non-coding RNA, 720 nt
Filed under: Pan troglodytes (chimpanzee)
Lineage: Eukaryota; Metazoa; Chordata; Mammalia; Primates; Hominidae
Description: long non-coding RNA NONPTRT013610
Source: RNAcentral
AACCAGCUCUAGACAUAAUAGCGAAAGUGAAUCUGUGCCAGCGAGUAUGUUCAUAUUGGAGGAUGACCGGUUUGGCAGCAGCUCUACUAGUACAUUUUUCCUUGAUAUCAACGAAGAUACAGAGCCAGCAUUUUAUGACCGAUCUGGACCCAUAAAGGAUAAAAAUUCAUUCCCUUUCUUUGCUUCUAGUAAACUUGUGAAGAAUCGUAUCUUAAAUUCGCUUACUUUGCCUAACAAAAAACAUCGUAGUAGCAGUGAUCCAAAAGGAGGGAAAUUAUCAUCUGAAAGUAAGACAAGCAACAGGCGAAUCAGAACACUUACGGAGCCCAGUGUUGAUUUUAAUCAUAGUGAUGAUUUUACACCCAUAUCCACUGUACAGAAAACAUUACAAUUAGAGACUUCAUUUAUGGGGAAUAAGCACAUUGAAGACACUGGUAGUACACCAAGCAUUGGAGAAAAUGACUUAAAAUUCACCAAGAAUUUUGGUACAGAGAAUCACAGAGAAAAUACAAGCCGAGAGAGGUUAGUAGUAGAAAGUUCAACGAGCUCACAUAUGAAGAUACGUAGCCAAAGUUUUAAUACAGACACUACAACAAGUGGCAUAAGUUCAAUGAGCUCAAGUCCUUCACGAGAGACAGUAGGUGUAGAUGCUACAACUAUGGACACAGACUGUGGAAGCAUGAGUACUGUGGUUCUUCUCAUACGCUUCCUAGAAGAGCA